RNAcentral lists this ribosomal RNA (245 nucleotides) under uncultured bacterium. RNAcentral describes it as "partial 16S ribosomal RNA". It matches the Rfam family "Bacterial small subunit ribosomal RNA", at positions 524 to 768 of the family's 1533-position model. The record is from RNAcentral.
UACGAAGGGGGCUAGCGUUGUUCGGAAUUACUGGGCGUAAAGCGCACGUAGGCGGACAUUUAAGUCAGGGGUGAAAUCCCGGGGCUCAACCUCGGAACUGCCUUUGAUACUGGGUGUCUUGAGUGUGGAAGAGGUCAGUGGAAUUGCGAGUGUAGAGGUGAAAUUCGUAGAUAUUCGCAGGAACACCAGUGGCGAAGGCGGCUGACUGGUCCACAACUGACGCUGAGGUGCGAAAGCGUGGGGAG